UCCUCAGUGGUACAAAUGGUUAAUGUGCUUGGCUGCUAACCAAAAGGCUGGUGGUUCGUGUCCACCUAGAGGCA
This 74-nucleotide transfer RNA is filed under the name Loxodonta africana (African savanna elephant). It matches the Rfam family "tRNA". From Rfam's summary of the family: Transfer RNA (tRNA) molecules are approximately 80 nucleotides in length. Their secondary structure includes four short double-helical elements and three loops (D, anti-codon, and T loops). Lineage: Eukaryota; Metazoa; Chordata; Mammalia; Proboscidea; Elephantidae. The record is from Rfam by way of RNAcentral.